RNAcentral lists this transfer RNA (72 nucleotides) under Ovis aries (sheep). It matches the Rfam family "tRNA". Rfam says of the family: Transfer RNA (tRNA) molecules are approximately 80 nucleotides in length. Their secondary structure includes four short double-helical elements and three loops (D, anti-codon, and T loops). The record is from Rfam by way of RNAcentral. Lineage: Eukaryota; Metazoa; Chordata; Mammalia; Artiodactyla; Bovidae.
UCUCUAGUAGCUCAGUCGGUAAAGAGUCUGCCUGCAAUGCAGGAGACCUGGGUUCAACCCCUGGGUUGGGAA